GCCCCCAUCGUCUAGCGGCUCAGGACAUCUCUCUUUCAAGGAGAUGACGGGGAUUCAAAUUCCCCUGGGGGUA
This 73-nucleotide transfer RNA is filed under the name Tmesipteris elongata. RNAcentral's name for it is "tRNA-Glu". It matches the Rfam family "tRNA". Rfam says of the family: Transfer RNA (tRNA) molecules are approximately 80 nucleotides in length. Their secondary structure includes four short double-helical elements and three loops (D, anti-codon, and T loops). Further hydrogen bonds mediate the characteristic L-shaped molecular structure. tRNAs have two regions of fundamental functional importance: the anti-codon, which is responsible for specific mRNA codon recognition, and the 3' end, to which the tRNAs corresponding amino acid is attached (by aminoacyl-tRNA synthetases). tRNAs cope with the degeneracy of the genetic code in two manners: having more than one tRNA (with a specific anti-codon) for a particular amino acid; and 'wobble' base-pairing, i.e. permitting non-standard base-pairing at the 3rd anti-codon position. Lineage: Eukaryota; Viridiplantae; Streptophyta; Polypodiopsida; Psilotales; Psilotaceae. The record is from RNAcentral.